GACGAACGCUGGCGGCGUGCUUAACACAUGCAAGUCGAACGAAGAGCGACGGAAGCUUGCUUCUAUCAAUCUUAGUGGCGAACGGGUGAGUAACGCGUAAUCAACCUGCCCUUCAGAGGGGGACAACAGUUGGAAACGACUGCUAAUACCGCAUACGAUCUAAUCUCGGCAUCGAGGAUGGAUGAAAGGUGGCCUCUACAUGUAAGCUAUCACUGAAGGAGGGGAUUGCGUCUGAUUAGCUAGUUGGAGGGGUAACGGCCCACCAAGGCGAUGAUCAGUAGCCGGUCUGAGAGGAUGAACGGCCACAUUGGGACUGAGACACGGCCCAGACUCCUACGGGAGGCAGCAGUGGGGAAUCUUCCGCAAUGGACGAAAGUCUGACGGAGCAACGCCGCGUGAGUGAUGACGACCUUCGGGUUGUAAAGCUCUGUUAAUCGGGACGAAAGGCCUUCUUGCGAAUAGUGAGAAGGAUUGACGGUACCGGAAUAGAAAGCCACGGCUAACUACGUG
RNAcentral lists this ribosomal RNA (510 nucleotides) under uncultured bacterium. Its description in RNAcentral is "partial 16S ribosomal RNA". It matches the Rfam family "Bacterial small subunit ribosomal RNA", at positions 28 to 507 of the family's 1533-position model. The record is from RNAcentral.